This 119-nucleotide ribosomal RNA is filed under the name Pteropus alecto (black flying fox). Lineage: Eukaryota; Metazoa; Chordata; Mammalia; Chiroptera; Pteropodidae. The record is from RNAcentral.
GUCUAUGGCCGUGCUAUCCUGAACGAGCCCAAUCCUGUCUGAUCUUGGAAGCUAAGCAAGGUCGGGCCUGGUUAGUACUUUGAUGGGAGACCACCUAGAAAGACCAGGUGCUGUAGGCU